GAGUAAAUAGCUCAACGGUAGAGCUUUUCGCUUACAACGAAAAUAGUGUGGGUUCAAAUCCUACUUUACUCA
Molecule: transfer RNA, 72 nt
Filed under: Jenufa minuta
Lineage: Eukaryota; Viridiplantae; Chlorophyta; Chlorophyceae
Description: tRNA-Val
Rfam family: tRNA
About the family: Transfer RNA (tRNA) molecules are approximately 80 nucleotides in length.
Source: RNAcentral